Molecule: long non-coding RNA, 848 nt
Filed under: Daucus carota (carrot)
Lineage: Eukaryota; Viridiplantae; Streptophyta; Magnoliopsida; Apiales; Apiaceae
Description: long non-coding RNA (DCAR_LNC007006)
Source: RNAcentral
GAGUUCUCCACAUUUCAGAUAUAGCACCAAUUACAGCUACACAUUGCACAUUCCAACUGCUUUAACAAAUAACUUCAUUAUCUAGAAAAACUUAUCCAACAAAGUACAAUUAGUUUACCGUGAUUUACAAAUUAUCGAGGACAUCGCUUUGUCGAGUUUCUAGUGUACAAAAGAAGCAAGUAAAUAUACACACAUAUGGAAAAUGCGAAAAGAGAUACCUAAUCCAGUAAGGUCCGGAGUAUCAAAAUCGUCCUGAUCGUAAUUGUAAAAAUCAUAUCCUAAUUUGAGUUCCUCCUCUUCAGCUAACUCUUCCGGAAGCUUCCACCGAGACUCCUCGUGAUGAUGAUCAUAGUGGUGGUGAUGUCCGUGAUUACAUUGUUGAGUGUGAGUGUGAGCGUGAGCGUGAGCGUGAGCGUGCACGUCGUUAUCGUGGUCGUGAGCAGCACAGGAUCCAGCGUUGUGAGCGAGGCUUGGAUUGAAGGUGAGUAAAAGAAACGAGAUGGUGAGUAAAGCGAGUGAUGUCGUGUGAAUUGACAUGUUUCUCGCCGAGAAAGAGAUUCAAGCCCUAAUUGAGAGAGAGAGAGAGAGAGAGGUGCGAGUCUGAAGACGAUGCCUGAUUGCCUGGAUUUGGUUGUUUAAUCACUAAUACCACUCCAAACGGAUCCUACUGGCCAAUGCGUAAGUAUUAAAAAGUACUCGGCGGAAAGCGAAAAAAGAAAAAAUAAUAUAAUAAAGUACCCUGCGUGCCGUUCGUUCAGCGUCCGGGUCCAGAGAUGUCCAGAAAUCAUCUAAAUUCGAAAGGCCCGGUUUCAAAUCGACAGGGAAAAAAAACAUUUUGGGAAAAAAUC